GACGAACGCUGGCGGCGUGCCUAAUACAUGCAAGUCGAACGAGAGCAACCGGUGCUUGCACUGGUCAAUCUAGUGGCGAACGGGUGAGUAACACGUGGGUAACCUGCCCAUCAGAGGGGGAUAACAUCCGGAAACGGAUGCUAAAACCGCAUAGGUCUUCGAACCGCAUGGUUCGAAGAGGAAAAGCGGCGCAAGCUUCUGCUGAUGGAUGGACCCGCGGUGCAUUAGCUAGUUGGUGAGGUAACGGCUCACCAAGGCCGUGAUGCAUAGCCGACCUGAGAGGGUGAUCGGCCACAUUGGAACUGAGACACGGCCCAAACUCCUACGGGAGGCAGCAGUAGGGAAUCUUCCGCAAUGGACGCAAGUCUGACGGAGCAACGCCGCGUGAGUGAAGAAGGUUUUCGGAUCGUAAAACUCUGUUGUUAGAGAAGAACAAGUGCUAGAGUAACUGUUAGCGCCUUGACGGUAUCUAACCAGAAAGCCACGGCUAACUACGUG
RNAcentral lists this ribosomal RNA (498 nucleotides) under uncultured bacterium. Its description in RNAcentral is "partial 16S ribosomal RNA". It matches the Rfam family "Bacterial small subunit ribosomal RNA", at positions 28 to 507 of the family's 1533-position model. The record is from RNAcentral.